AUUGAACGCUGGCGGCAGGCCUAACACAUGCAAGUCGAGCGGAUGAAGGGAGCUUGCUCCUGGAUUCCGCGGCGGACGGGUGAGUAAUGCCUAGGAAUCUGCCUGGUAGUGGGGGAUAACGUCCGGAAACGGGCGCUAAUACCGCCUACGUCCUGCGGGCGAAAGUGGGGGAUCCUCGGACCUCACGCUAUCCGAUGAGCCUACGUCGGCUUAGCUAGUUGGUGGGGUAAAGGCCUAUCACGGCGACGAUCCGUAACUGAUCUGAGAGGAUGAUCAGUCCCACUGGAACUGAGACAGGGUCCAGGCUCCUACGGGAGGCAGCAGUGGGGAAUAGUGGACAGUGGGCGAAAGCCUGGUACAGCGAGGCCGCGUGUGUGGAGAAGGUCUUCGGAGGGUAAAGCACUCUAAGUGGGGAGGAAGGGCAGUAAGUUAAUACCUUGCUGUUUUGACGGUACCAACAGAAGAAGCACCGGCUAACUUCGUG
RNAcentral lists this ribosomal RNA (484 nucleotides) under uncultured bacterium. RNAcentral's name for it is "partial 16S ribosomal RNA". It matches the Rfam family "Bacterial small subunit ribosomal RNA", at positions 30 to 507 of the family's 1533-position model. The record is from RNAcentral.